GUGGAAAUGUUACACGUCACACGUAAAACAAAAAUCAUAUUGUUUAGUAUCAUUUAAAAAAAAUUUGAACAGAAAAUCUAAACGUGUUAGUGACGUUUUAAAUAAGCUAGCCAACAUGUUUUUGUAAAACAUAGUAAGCAUCUUAAUUACCGUAAAAAAAGUAGAAACUUUUUCCUGGCCUAAAGUAUAAUAAACCUCUUCAGAUAUCUUUGAUCAGGAAAAGAAAAAGUAUUUUUAAACGUUAAUGUUCUCCUGUUCUAUUACAUUGGUGCUAAAUAAAAAUCAUUUGUUCUGCUGUUCUACUACAUUGGUGCUGGUCACUUCUACAUGUUUAAAACUUUAUUUCAUUUGUUCUGCUGUUCUACUACAUUGGUGCUGGUCACUUCUACAUGUUUAAAACUUUAUUUUUUUUACAGCACAACAAAACAAUCAUGCAAGGAACCGAUAAGAAAAAACCUGGUACCAGGAAAUAAAUCUUCUUUGACAAUUAAAAACUCCAGAAGACAUUUGAGCUGAAAUCAAGUGGUGUUAACCAGAAGAUCAUGUGUACUGAGUUGAGGAUCACAAGGAUCACACUUUAAAAAAUUGAAGAAGAAGCACACACAAAAACUUGGAGGACUAAAAGUUCUAUGUAAGUUAGAGGAAAAGACAGUUGCUGAGCAUUUGGUUGCUUCUUCUUAAUGGGAGUUUCCAUUUGGUUGCUGAUUUUUUAAAAGGAGUUUCCAUUUGAAAGGCAAAUCACCAGAUAAUAGAACCGUUUCCUAAAGGAAUGUAUAUAAUAGAAGUUGGAAUAACAGAGCACAAAAAAUCAUAAUUAGCAAUUUCCAAGUUUCAAUCAAAAGGAACAAAAACAGUAAUUUAAUUUGGAAUAAUUUCACUAUUGUGGAUAGAAGUAGGGGUAGAACAAGCAUCAGAAUGUAACAAAUCAACAACAUCAAAAAAAGAAUCAUUAAAAGAGAAAACAGAGCUUAAAAAAUCUCUUAUUAAGUCAUGCGAGAUUUUUUUUUUUUUUUAACAUCUUUAUUUCCAACAAGACUACAAGCAACCAAUUUUAGAGUUGGAAGUUACUUGAAGAUAAGGUUUAUAUGAGAGAUCAUUAAGAAGAGAUAAUCCGAGACAAUGUAGAAGACAUAUUAACAGUGUUGCUAUUUAUCAAUUUAGAAAUAUCAAUAGCAUUACGGAGACAUUGAAAAGACUUUGCCAGAUACAACAUAUUAAGAGAAAUUAUAGGUGCAGGGCUGUGGAGUCGGAGUCGGAGUUCCGACAUUUGUAGCGGAGUCGGAGUCG
This is a non-coding RNA of Hydra vulgaris (swiftwater hydra), 1287 nucleotides long. Lineage: Eukaryota; Metazoa; Cnidaria; Hydrozoa; Anthoathecata; Hydridae. The record is from RefSeq and is a predicted model, not a curated record.